Molecule: ribosomal RNA, 402 nt
Filed under: uncultured bacterium
Lineage: Bacteria
Description: bacterial SSU rRNA
Rfam family: Bacterial small subunit ribosomal RNA
Source: RNAcentral
UUAGGAAUCUUCCACAAUGGGCGAAAGCCUGAUGGAGCGACACCGCGUGAAGGAUGAAGGCCUUAGGGUCGUAAACUUCUAAAAGAGGGACGAUAAUGACGGUACCUCUUGAGAAGCACCGGCUAACUCCGUGCCAGCAGCCGCGGUAAUACGGAGGGUGCAAGCGUUAUCCGGAAUCACUGGGCGUAAAGGGCGCGUAGGCGGUCUGUUAAGUCUGGCGUUAAAGCCUGGGGCUCAACCCCAGAUCAGCGUUGGAUACUGGCAGGCUAGACGGUUGGAGAGGCGAGUGGAAUUACCAGUGUAGCGGUGGAAUGCGUAGAUACUGGUAGGAACACCCAUUGCGAAGGCAGCUCGCUGGACAACACGUGACGCUGAGGCGCGAAAGUGUGGGGAGCAAACCGG